AGUGAACGCUGGCGGUAGGCCUAACACAUGCAAGUCGAACGGCAGCACAGUAAGAGCUUGCUCUUACGGGUGGCGAGUGGCGGACGGGUGAGGAAUACAUCGGAAUCUACUUUUUCGUGGGGGAUAACGUAGGGAAACUUACGCUAAUACCGCAUACGACCUACGGGUGAAAGCAGGGGAUCUUCGGACCUUGCGCGAUUGAAUGAGCCGAUGUCGGAUUAGCUAGUUGGGGGGGUAAAGGCCCACCAAGGCGACGAUCCGUAGCUGGUCUGAGAGGAUGAUCAGGCACACUGGAACUGAGACACGGUCCAGACUCCUACGGGAGGCAGCAGUGGGGAAUAUUGGACAAUGGGCGCAAGCCUGAUCCAGCCAUACCGCGUGGGUGAAGAAGGCCUUCGGGUUGUAAAGCCCUUUUGUUGGGAAAGAAAAGCAGCAGGUUAAUACCCCGCUGUUCUGACGGUACCCAAAGAAUAAGCACCGGCUAACUUCGUG
Molecule: ribosomal RNA, 492 nt
Filed under: uncultured bacterium
Lineage: Bacteria
Description: partial 16S ribosomal RNA
Rfam family: Bacterial small subunit ribosomal RNA
Source: RNAcentral